AUCACAUUAUGCUUUUUUAGCAGGAAAUGACUUGGCUUGAAAUGCAUGGUUUCUAACAGUUUUAAAAAGCAACAAACUCAUUGGAAAAAUUCCUGUGAUAUACAUCUUUGCACUGUUUCAGGAAUGAAAAAGUCUAAAAAUAUCACAGGUGUUCACCACCAACAUGUAGAAACAUCUCAGUGUUCCCUUGUGCCUCUCACUCUGGACCCCAGCAGACUGCAACAAGAGACUCCAGCAGACCACCUUGGUGUUCCUCUUCAGGACAGGACAGCUGAUUCUCACUUCACAUUCAAGGCUAACUAGCAGGACCUUGCAAGGCUCACAGUAGAAGCCCCAAUUAAAAAAGCAGGGAGUUAGUUCCACAACCUAGGGGUGAAAACUGAGAAGGCCCGAUCCAAGGUCAUUACUAGAUGAACCAGUGGCACCUGAAGACGGACCCCUCCUGAUUAUCUCAAUGAGUGGUGCGGAUCUUGUAUUGAAAAGCGCUCUCUCAGAAAUAUGUUCCUGAAGGCUACAUGAAUUUCAAGGAUGUAUUUCGGCAGUCAUAAAGUCCAUUUGGAGGAAGGAGCAGUGAAAAUCCCUCCUCCAGCUCCCUUUGUGCACAAUCCCUGCUCAGCAACACGCUGGGCUGUUCUCUGCUGCAGCCUCUUCUGUGGACAACACCUCUCCUGGCUACGCAGUUCUUGCACUGUCUGUGCAGAAUGUCUUCACCAACAUGACAGGAACUCAAUAGUUUGUGGAAGGUAGCUUACUGGGUACAGUUUACUAUAGGCUUCAGCAUUCUUUAUUUUGGUCAUAUGAAAGUUGAGAACAAAACCAGGGGCCUGGACUGAGAUUUCUUCAUGAUCAAUGUGGUCAUUUAAUUGGUUAAUAUCUCUAUACAAAGGGAUAUAUUGCUAGAUCCAGAGUACAAUAGCCUUGAUUUGUUCACUAAAGACUGAAUAUAUGGACACUCUCAUCCAUUUAUCUGACCCAUUUCUAGUAUACAAUAUUGUCUAAUCUUGGGGGGGGGGGCAUUCUCAGGAGCCCACACACCAGUGGCAGCUGGUGACUCCUGGGACUGGGUGGGUGCCAGGCAGGGCAGCGCCAAAGUGGGCAGUGCAGGGGUGGAGUAAAAAAAAGAAAACCCACAAUAUAGUUUUUCUCUCUCACUCAUGCCUUUUAUGCUUCCUAUGCCUCUUAUGCUUUUAUGGCCUCAUACUUUUACAGCCUUUAGAUUUUUACAAUUUAAUUACUUUGUACUGCAAGACUUCCAGUCUAAUAUUUGCGGUUUAUCUUUUAUGCCUUUCAUGUAUUUCAUGCCUAUUAUGCAAUUAAAAACCCUCUUACUGUUUGAAAUCAA
Hemicordylus capensis (graceful crag lizard) is the source of this 1342-nucleotide long non-coding RNA. RefSeq lists it as uncharacterized. Lineage: Eukaryota; Metazoa; Chordata; Lepidosauria; Squamata; Cordylidae. The record is from RefSeq and is a predicted model, not a curated record. The transcript has 5 exons.